This is a long non-coding RNA of Culex pipiens pallens (northern house mosquito), 859 nucleotides long. RefSeq lists it as uncharacterized. NCBI's taxonomy places the organism in Eukaryota, Metazoa, Arthropoda, Insecta, Diptera, Culicidae. The record is from RefSeq and is a predicted model, not a curated record. The transcript is spliced from 2 exons.
UUCCAGUGGCAGCCAAUUUUUAGCCCAAAUCAAUGUUUUACAUGAGUCAUGCAACAAUCACCAUGCAUUCAUGUCAACUCUUCUUGAUUUUCACGCAGCAUGCACACACACAACUAUAUGCCACGUGAAAUUCAUGUCUGAAAAUUUGGAGGCGUGGCUUGCAGUCAGCUGAGUUUGGGUUUGCAUGAUUAUAAUGCAACCUUCGCAUGGAAAUUGGUAUGGAAAAAAGUCAUACACCUUUUCAUGCAACAUUGUGGUGAAAAGUUGUUUGAGUGAGAGGUGGAAGGUGGAAGGUUGCAUGAAUUUCCUGUCUGAAAAUUUCGGCUCGGUUGCCGAUCGACAACCUCGAAGAUUUCAAUCAUCAGUUCAUUCUCGGCGCUAGACUUGGCAAGAAGCCGAUAAGCUUGAGUUUUUUUGAAAGGUGCAUUAAAAAAGUUCGAGAGUCGUUUGCCUGUAUUAAUAUUCCGUACCGGAUGAAGACGUAAUCCGACCGGACAUCACAAUGUUGGAACUUUAUGGUAGUCAAUACAGUUGACAUCGGAAGGUGGCACCAAAUAAUCAGGACCUAGAUCAGGACAAACACCACUAAAAGUGUCUCCCGUUGGCUGCUGCUCUGCUGCAACGGGAAAAUCAACCAAAAAGAACUGAAGCCUUUUCUACAACUCAAAGCUCCGCGCCAUUCAUCGCGACUUGGUGAAAAAUACGUCGACCAUUUGCACAAUGCCGUCCUCAAGAAGUUACUGCAGUUGUUGUAAAUUGAUGGAUUUUAUAGUGUUUUAGUGAUUUACUUAGUGUGAUAAGUGUUUUAAACGUUGUGUUCAAAGUUCAAAACGUUUUUAAAAUAAAAUUAUUUAAAAUA